GGCUCUUCCUAUCAUUGUGAAGC
RNAcentral lists this non-coding RNA (23 nucleotides) under Arabidopsis thaliana (thale cress). The record is from RNAcentral. Lineage: Eukaryota; Viridiplantae; Streptophyta; Magnoliopsida; Brassicales; Brassicaceae. RNAcentral also lists the same sequence under 2 other names.